UACGUAGGUGGCGAGCGUUAUCCGGAAUGAUUGGGCGUAAAGGGUGCGUAGGCGGCCUGCUAAGUCUGGAGUGAAAGGUACCGGCUCAACCGGUACAGGCUCUGGAAACUGGCGGGCUAGAGAGCAGGAGAGGGCGGUGGAACUCCAUGUGUAGCGGUAAAAUGCGUAGAUAUAUGGAAGAACACCAGUGGCGAAGGCGGCCGCCUGGCCUGUUGACUGACGCUGAGGCACAAAAGCGUGGGUAGCAAACAGG
This 253-nucleotide ribosomal RNA is filed under the name uncultured bacterium. RNAcentral describes it as "partial 16S ribosomal RNA". It matches the Rfam family "Bacterial small subunit ribosomal RNA", at positions 524 to 776 of the family's 1533-position model. The record is from RNAcentral.